AACCUAUGCAUUUGUUAGUUUCUGUGUCCAAUAUUUAACCAUCCGUCUUAUUUAAAUUUUUUUAUGAUUAAUAUUUUUAUUGUUAUUAGAUGAUAAAAGAUGAAUAAUAUUUUAUAUGUGACUUAUAUUUUUUUUAUAAAUUUUUUAAAUAAGAUAGACAGUCAGACUUUGAACUAACACCUACAGACGCACUUAAA
Oryza meridionalis is the source of this 197-nucleotide non-coding RNA. Lineage: Eukaryota; Viridiplantae; Streptophyta; Magnoliopsida; Poales; Poaceae. The record is from Rfam.